This 300-nucleotide unclassified non-coding RNA is filed under the name Hevea brasiliensis (rubber tree). The record is from RNAcentral. Lineage: Eukaryota; Viridiplantae; Streptophyta; Magnoliopsida; Malpighiales; Euphorbiaceae.
GGCCUCAGCUGAUCAUUUGUGCUUCCUUGCCCACACUGUCCAUAGAGUCUCCAUCCAAAUGUAAAUAGUGCUCCGGCAUCUGUUACUACUGCACUAUGCCGACCUCCACAUGCAAUUACCUUCACAUAACUUCCAGGGAAUUUAGAAGCUUUUGCUGAUGAAUCUAAGCUUCCUUGAGGGGCUAUCAUGGACUGAUCUUUCCCCAAAGCUGAUGGAUCAAGGCAAGGUAUGAGAUGAGGAGAAGAAACCAUUUUUAUCCAGGAUCCCAAACCUAGCUGCCCUUCACCUCCAUAGCCCCAA